AGGACGAACGCUGGCGGCGUGCCUAAAACAUGCAAGUCGAACGAGGUAGCAAUACCUAGUGGCGAACGGCGGAGUAAGACAUAAGCAACGUGCCCCGAAGUCUGGGAUAUACAGUCGAAAGACUGGGCAAUACCGGAUACGGCCACCAGAAGGCAUCUUUUGGUGAUUAAAUGGUUUUUCGCUCCGGGAGCGGCUUAUGGCCUAUCAGCUAGUUGGUGGGGUAAAGGCCUACCAAGGCAACGACGGGUAGGGGGUCUGAGAGGAUGAUCCCCCCGAGUGGGACUGAGACACGGCCCACACACCUACGGGUGGCAGCAGUUGGGAAUCUUGCACAAUGGGGGAAACCCUGAUGCAGCGACGCCGCGUGGAGGACGAAGGAUUUAGGUCUGUAAACUUCUUUUACCAGGAAAGACUUAGGACGGUACCUGGUGAAUAAGCUCCGGCUAACUACGUGCCAGCAGCCGC
Molecule: ribosomal RNA, 465 nt
Filed under: uncultured bacterium
Lineage: Bacteria
Description: SSU rRNA
Rfam family: Bacterial small subunit ribosomal RNA
Source: RNAcentral